This 63-nucleotide transfer RNA is filed under the name Polydesmus sp. GZCS-2019. RNAcentral's name for it is "tRNA-Tyr". It matches the Rfam family "tRNA". From Rfam's summary of the family: Transfer RNA (tRNA) molecules are approximately 80 nucleotides in length. Their secondary structure includes four short double-helical elements and three loops (D, anti-codon, and T loops). Further hydrogen bonds mediate the characteristic L-shaped molecular structure. tRNAs have two regions of fundamental functional importance: the anti-codon, which is responsible for specific mRNA codon recognition, and the 3' end, to which the tRNAs corresponding amino acid is attached (by aminoacyl-tRNA synthetases). tRNAs cope with the degeneracy of the genetic code in two manners: having more than one tRNA (with a specific anti-codon) for a particular amino acid; and 'wobble' base-pairing, i.e. permitting non-standard base-pairing at the 3rd anti-codon position. The record is from RNAcentral. Lineage: Eukaryota; Metazoa; Arthropoda; Diplopoda; Polydesmida; Polydesmidae.
GGCGAGGUAGUUGAAGUAAAAUGUUAAAUUGUAAGUUUAAUGGUGGGUGGUUCUCCCUUGCUA